UAAAAUUUUAGAAAUAAUAGACUAACAUUUUGUUAUUUUGCGCAAUUAGCAAAUCUUUAAAAACAACUAAAAUUACAUAUACAUAUAUAAUAUAUAUAAAUAUUAAGAAGAACAAAAUGAUUGCUUAUAAAUGUAAGAAUACCAUUUAUGGAUUUAAAAAAGGUAAUAUAUAUAUAUAUGUAUGCGUAUAUACUGUGGUCGUUUAAAAACAGAAAUAUAAUUGCAUGUUGUGUUUUGAUUGUUUAUUUUUUUUUUUUUUUUGAUUUAUUUAUUUUUAUUUGUUUUUACUUGUUUUUACUAGUUUUUAUUUGUUUUUAUUAGUUUUUAUUUGUUUUUAUCUGUUUUUAUAUGAUUUUGCUUUUUUUUAAUAUAUUUUUUACAGAAUAUGAAUUGUUGAACCCGUGUAAGUAUACAGUAAAAUAUAAAUCGCAUUUUGUAGAUAAACUACAUAUAUAUGAUUCGAAUGGUGAUACUUCCAAAGAUGAAGGGAUAUGGUAUAACAACAGAACAAACCACUUGGAAGAUUGUUUUAAAGGUAUUGAACGCAUUUUUUUUUUUUUUUUUAUAAAAAUUUUGGGGUUUACGAUGAGUCAGAUGUUAGUUGUUGUAUUUAAAAAUAUAUCUUACGUUAAUUUUAAAAAUGGUACAAAUAAUACUUUAGAUAAUACAGUUAAGGAUAGAAGUAGUGUUAAACACAAAAUUUAUUUUAGUUUCUUUAUUGUACUUUUAAAUGGUACGCGAAUGGAUUAUAGCAUGAUUGGAAUGUUUAUCUAUGAAUAUUAUUGUAGCAACGGAGAUUAUUGUAGCAACGGUAAUUAUAGUAACAGUGGAGAUUAUGGCAACAGUGGAGAUUAUGGUAACAGUGGAGAUUAUGGUAACAGUGGAGAUUAUGGUAACAGUGGAGAUUAUGGUAACAGUGGAGAUAAUAAUGACAACAAUGGAGAUUAUGGUAACAGUGGAGAUAAUAAUGACAACAAUGGAGAUAAUGAAAGUAGUGACGAUGAUGAGAACAGUGACGAUGAUGAAAACAGUGACGAUGAUGAGAACAGUGACGAUGAUGAAAACAGUGACGAUGAUGAGAACAGUGACGAUGAUGAAAACAGUGACAAUAAUAAAAAUAGAUACAAUAAAAAUGCCACUAUUAAGGUAAAUAGUAAAGGAAGCAGUAACGGGGAAAAUGGCAGUACGCAACAUGUGUUUAGUCAAAAAUAUAGUAUCGCUGAAAUAAGUAAAAAUGAUUAUAAUAUAAAUGACAAUUAUAGUAAUGAUACGACAAACACUAACAGUACGAUAACUACGAACUGUACUUGCAAUAGUACAAACAAUACUUUAUGCGAACGUAACGACAAAAUAAAUGCAAACUUUAUAAAAGAGAGUGUACUUGGACAUAAUAAUACUAAUGAUGCUAAGAAUGACACUAAUAAUGACACUAAUAAUGAUACUAAUAAUGACACUAAUAAUGAUACUAAUAAUGAUACUAAUAAUGAUACUAAUAAUGAUACUAAUAAUGAUACUAAUAAUGACAUAUCUUUAAAUAAUAUUAGUAUCGUGGAAAAUAACAAAUCAGAGUUUAGAAUGAAUAAAAAUGAAAUUACAAAUGAUAUUAAAACUGAUAUUAAAGCUGAUAUUAAAAAUGAAAUUAAAAUUGAAAAAAGAUAUAACACGCGAGGAUGCACUAAUAAGUUAAUAGGGCAUAUGAAUAAACCGAAUAAUGACGAUAAUGAUAUUUAUAGUAAAUAUAAUAUUUAUGAUUUUUAUUUCACUAAACGUCCUUACAGUAGUAAUCUAAAUGAAGAAAACAAUAUAACUACUAAGAAACCUAGGAAUAGUCAUAAGAUUAAUGAAAAAUCACAAAAAUUAAAUAAUACCAACAAGAAUAAUAAGCAGAACGAGAAUAGUGAUAUCGAUAAGAAAAAUAUUGACAUGAAUUCUGAUGAAAAUAGUGAUAUCAUUAACAGUGAUAAUAAAUCAAACAAUAAUAGUGAGCAUAGUAGUACUGUAAAUAGUAGAGUAAGGAGAGGAAUGAAAAACAAUAUGAAAAAGAGAGGGCGUAAAAGGGGAAGUAAAAAAGUAAAUAAAAGAGCACGUAAUAGUGUGAGUAAUACCCGUAAUAAAAAAAUUGUAAAUAAAAUUAAAAAUAAAACUAUGGUUGAUAUUGUGAGUGAAAUUGAGAGUAACAGUGUAAGUAAAAGCGUAAAUGCCAGUGUAAGUAACAGCGUAAAUGCCAGUGUAAGUCAAAGCAUAACUGACAGUGUAAGUCAAAGCAUAAAUGACAAUGUAAGUCAAAGCGUAAAUGACCGUGUAAGUCAAAGCGUAAAUGACCGUGUAAGUCAAAGCGUAAAUGUCCGUGUAAGUCAAAGCGUAAAUGACAGUGUAAGUCAAAGCGUAAAUGACAGUGUAAGUCAAAGCGUAAAUGACAGUGUAAGUCAAAGCGUAAAUGACAGUGUAAGUCAAAGCGUAAAUGACAGUGUAAGUCAAAGCGUAAAUGACAGUGUAAGUAAAAAAGUUACUACAGUUAGGACCGGACGCAGAAGAUUUUCUAAGUAUUUAUUUGCUACUAUGGAUAUUACACAAAGUAAUUUCAAACCAAGAACAAAAUUUUCGACUAAUGAAGAAUAUUUAGAAUAUAAAAAUGAACGACGUGCGGCUGCAUUGGGUAAUUAUCUAAGGUAUUGCAAUAGAAGAAGAAAAAAAAAAAAAAAAACUACAUAUAGCGAUUCUAAUGAUAAAAGAAAAAAUAAAUUUAAAAAUAUCGAAAAAUACUUAACAUCUGAAGAAGAAGUAACAUCUGAAGAAGAAGUGACAUCUGAAGAAGAAGUAACAGAUAAAAAAAAUCUAACAGCUAAAAAAAAGGUAACAGCUAAAAAAAAGGUAACAGAUAAAAAAAAAGGAACAGAUAAAAAAAAAGGAACAGGUAAAAAAAAUGUAGCAGAUAAAAAAAAUGUAGCAGAUAAAAAAAAUGUAGUAGAUAAAAAAAAUGUAGAAGAUAAAAAAAAUGUAACAGAUAAAAAAAAUGUAACAGAUAAAAAAAAUGUAACUGAUAAAAAAAAUGUAACUGAUAAAAAAAAUAGUAGUAUGAAAUUAAAUAAUAAUGACAAUAUAAACUUUAAAGAAGAAACUAGCAGUUAUAAGAAGUUGAAUAAUAAAAAAAAUGAUAAAUCUAUUUUUAAUAAUAAAGUUGAUAAUGAUAUUUUUAAUGUAAAUAAUAACCUUUUCGGUAUUAAUUUUAAUGCAACUGAUGAAACAAGUGACAGUAACGGAAGCGAUAAUAAAAACGAUAGUAGAAACAAUAAUAGAAAUAGUAAUAGAAAAAAUAAUAGAAACAAUGGUGGAAAUGAUCAUGGAAACGAUAGUGGAAACAAUAAUAGAGACAAUAAUAGAAACAAUAUUAGAAACAAUAGUGGAAACAAUAACGGAAACGAUAACGGAAGCAACAGCAACAAUUGUCAAAUUAAUGAAAAUAGUGUUUCUUUAAAUAAAAGUGACUUCUUAUGCGAUACAAAUAAUUAUGACUCUUAUAAUUCGACUAGUUAUAAUAGUAAUAUUUUUUUUGAUGGUAAUGCUUCUUCUAAUGAGUCAAUAUUUUACAGUAAUCCUUAUAAUGCUGAUCGAGGUCAUAACAACUUAAAUCUUUUUAAUUUUGUUUUAUAUAAUGUUAUUCGUACACAUAAUCAUAAUAACUUUUUGGACAUACCUAAUUAUGUGAAUAGUGGUAAUAACUCAUUUCUAAGUAAUUGUGAUUUGAAUAAUACAUAUCGCACUUAUUAUAAUGACAUGUUGCGCCACCAUAUCAAUAGUCAAAAUAAUUUU
Molecule: long non-coding RNA, 3810 nt
Filed under: Piliocolobus tephrosceles (Ugandan red Colobus)
Lineage: Eukaryota; Metazoa; Chordata; Mammalia; Primates; Cercopithecidae
Description: lncRNA (ENSPTEG00000013848.1)
Source: RNAcentral